GAUGAACGCUGGCGGCGUGCUUAACACAUGCAAGUCGAACGAAGCACUUUAUUUGAUUUCCUUCGGGACUGAUUAUUUUGUGACUGAGUGGCGGACGGGUGAGUAACGCGUGGGUAACCUGCCUUGUACAGGGGGAUAACAGUUGGAAACGGCUGCUAAUACCGCAUAAGCGCACAGCAUCGCAUGAUGCAGUGUGGAAAACUCUGGUGGUAUAAGAUGGACCCGCGUUGGAUUAGCUAGUUGGUGAGGUAACGGCCCACCAAGGCGACGAUCCAUAGCCGACCUGAGAGGGUGACCGGACACAUUGGGAGUGAGACACGGCACAAACUCCUACGGGAGGAAGCAGUGGGGAAUAUUGCACGAUGGGCGAAAGGAUGAUGCAGCAACGCCGCGUGAGCGAAGAAGUAUUUCAGUAUGUAAAGCUCUAUCAGCAGGGAAGAUAAUGACGGUACCUAACUAAGAAGCAACGGCUAAAUACGUG
This 481-nucleotide ribosomal RNA is filed under the name uncultured bacterium. Its description in RNAcentral is "partial 16S ribosomal RNA". It matches the Rfam family "Bacterial small subunit ribosomal RNA", at positions 28 to 507 of the family's 1533-position model. The record is from RNAcentral.